RNAcentral lists this ribosomal RNA (119 nucleotides) under Oncorhynchus mykiss (rainbow trout). The record is from RNAcentral. Lineage: Eukaryota; Metazoa; Chordata; Actinopteri; Salmoniformes; Salmonidae.
GCUUACGGCCACACCGGCCUGAGUACGCCUGAUCUCGUCCGAUCUCGGAAGCUAAGCAAGGGUCGGGCCUGUUAGUACUGGAUGGGAGACCGCCUGGGAAUACCAGGUGCCUGUAAGCU